This 237-nucleotide unclassified non-coding RNA is filed under the name Hevea brasiliensis (rubber tree). Lineage: Eukaryota; Viridiplantae; Streptophyta; Magnoliopsida; Malpighiales; Euphorbiaceae. The record is from RNAcentral.
AACAAGCAUGCCAACAAGGCUUCUGCUGCCAUUAAUAAAGGCAAAAGUACUUGAUGUAUUAUACAAGCAGCAGGAGCAAAGAAGAAAGAAAGAUCGAUCCAGAGGGAAGCUUGUGCAUCCAUCAAAUCUUUCAAAUACCUUUUUGGUAUCUUUUUGCAUAUCUUGGAUUGGUACACACCUAUCAGACAUGGUGUUGGUUUAAUUGUACAAGGAAUUUGCAGCUUUUUCUUUCCUUUU